CAUAGAGUAGACGAUUACCGCGGAGAAUCGCCACUCAGACGUGACUCGACUGGGCCGGUUGUAGUGCGCGCGUUGUACACGAGUUCGUUAAUUCGACAGAAAGUGUGCGUUUUUAUUUGUUUUUAAAUUGUUAAUUAAAAUAUUCACAAUUUUUUCGCUGUGUUGUUUUAUUAUCGUUGUAUUUGACUAAACGGGCUGUUGAUUUUAUUGUUCGUUUUAUAAUAAUUAUUAUUCGGGUGAUAAUACAUAGUUUUGAAGUUGCAUGUUAAAUUAUUAACGCUCAUUUAGGAUUAAAAUAUUUCAAUAACAUCAAUGGAUUACUAAAGAGCAGUAUUGAAAUUUCGCUCAAGAUUGCGUAAAUGGACGCCCGAAAUGUGCCGUAGCUAUAAUGAUAUACCACCAGAAAUAUGACCAAUGAUCCUCACUUCUUAAAGGCCCUCAAAAAACACCCAGACAGGAGGACCUUACAGGAUCUGCAAAUUAUUUACUAUGGCUUACAAAGUUUGGAAGCGCUGUAUACUUAUAGGGAUUCUGCCUUGCGCACCAUGUGUAAAUCUGUUAGAUAUGAACGUCAUGAUGCCAAUGACGUCCUAUACUU
Daktulosphaira vitifoliae (grape phylloxera) is the source of this 598-nucleotide long non-coding RNA. RefSeq lists it as uncharacterized. NCBI's taxonomy places the organism in Eukaryota, Metazoa, Arthropoda, Insecta, Hemiptera, Phylloxeridae. The record is from RefSeq and is a predicted model, not a curated record. The transcript has 3 exons.